RNAcentral lists this ribosomal RNA (3723 nucleotides) under Sphaerospora molnari. RNAcentral describes it as "partial 18S ribosomal RNA". It matches the Rfam family "Eukaryotic small subunit ribosomal RNA". Lineage: Eukaryota; Metazoa; Cnidaria; Myxozoa; Bivalvulida; Sphaerosporidae. The record is from RNAcentral.
AUCUGGUUGAUCCUGCCAGUUAUGAUAGGCUUGUCUCAAGGAUUAAGCCAUGCAUGCCUAAGUUCAUACCUUUACAAGGUGAAACUGCGAAUCGCUCAGUAAAUCAGUUAUUGUUUCUUUGAUUGUACCGAGAUGUGGCCUACUGUCAGUCGCAAGGCUGCCACAGUGACCUCAUCACACAUUGGAUAUCUCUGGGAAACUAGAGCUAAUACAUGUCAACUGCUAUCACGGGGUAGCGUGCAUUUGUUCGUGCUUUCCAAAACCAACACUGGUCGAGCUAAGCCCAUGUGGUGGUGAUGUGCCAGUAUCACUACUGGUGCCUCACCACCAAGGCCGGCUAGUGUGACCUGGUGGCAGUCCCCUGCUGCCAGUCAGCACUUUUCGGUUUGUGUGCGUGCAUACGGCUCGGCCAUGUUUACGGUGAUUCUGAAUAACUGAUGCUGAUCGUACAGGGCCAUCAUCACAGCGUGGAUGCCACCUCCUGGUGGCCUCUCCACCUGUGUAUGUGCUUCGAGCCCACGAUAUUUCAAUCAAAUUCCUGCCCUAUCAUAUUUGUUGGUAAGGUAGCGGCCUACCAAGGUGAUGACGGGUAACGGGGAAUCAGGGUUCGAUUCCGGAGAGGGAGCCUGAGAAACAGCUACCACGUCCAAGGAUGGCAGCAGGCGCGCAAACUAUCCAAUCCAGAUUCUGGGAGAUGGUGACGAGACAUAUUGGGACUCACCAGCAUCGCUGGUUGAGUCACCAGAUAGACUACAACCUAAAACAGUGCUAAAAUAAUCAACAGGAGGGCAAGUCUGGUGCCAGCAGCCGCGGUAAUACCAGCUCCUGUGGCCUAUAUGGUCGUUGUUGCGGUUAAAAAGCUCGUAGCCGAAAUACGGUGCGCUCGAAAGCUGCAUCAGUGCUGAAACUAGCGUCGCCAAGUCACAGAUUGUGAAUGAUGCCACGGUUAGCCACUAAAACAGCCCGGCACCAGCAUCUCGCGACAAUAAACUGUGUGCGUGUGCGUGUGCGUGUUGAAUCAACAUUCGUACCUUGACUGAGUGUGCCGGCCAGCACGCCGACCCCAUGCCAUCAUCACCCUUGGGGGCUGGUGUCACCAUGAGACUCGGCACUGAGUCGUGAGCCUGUGCACACAAGUGCCUGGGGUACGCAUCAUUUGCCAGCCUAAACAGCCAAGCGAGCGUCCAAUCAGCUGGCUGAGUUUACGCGAUUCAGCCCUCAUACUUCUUCAAGUGUGUGCGUGUGGCUGGGCAUGUGCGUGCAAUUACAACUCGGCAUUCGAUCGAUUGGGCCGAGAGCCAUUACGCGUGGCUCACGGUGUGCACAUCACCCUCAGUUGGUCCUAUGUACUAGUAUUCCUCAUCUAAGCGCAUCACACUGUGCCGUGUAGAAUGAUGAUAUGUCGCCGCUGGCUCCUUCACUGUGAGCAACGGCCCGUGGCAUCUAAUCUGCAACAUUCGUGCGACGCAAUCUAUAGUUAUCCCCGCUGUGGUAACUAACAAUGGCUGGGCCCUGCGUUGUGUGCCUCUAACUGUGCGUGGCCAUCACUUCUGGUGGUGGUCACACCGGCAUCAGAGCCACAACGCGUCGUCUCAUCCGCCACAGUGGUUCAGCGCUGAGACGGCAUUAGAGCGCGCUUUCUCGUCCAGCUCCGGUGCAGGCACUACGAACAGUAGUGGCGACUAUCCUUCACUGGAUACACCGGACGCUGAGCGAAUUGUGCCUUGAGUAAAAUAGAGUGCUCAAAGCAGGCUAGGCAUGUAACAGUGUCAUUGCCCGUAUACUCCAGCAUGGAACGAAUGUCCAAUUGCUUGAACCACCCUGCGACCUGGUUCGUUGGUUGAAAGUGCGUGUGCGUGUCAAUGAGCGCUUCCAGCGCCCAACUCGUGUGCGUUCUUCGGUACACCCACAUCACACCUCAUCAUGUGUGAGCUGUGGUGUGGGUGGAUCCCAGGUCGUAUCCGCUACGGUGUGUACCCGAUGUGCGUGCAGAUUCUCGUAAUCGCAUCAACAGGGCAGUGUGUGCCAUCAGUGGUUGUGUGGUGGCCACCAAUGGUCGCCACAGUUAUCAAUCCGGCACACAUUGUGGACACUUUGUCUACUGUCUGCUCCAGGUACUGUGCUGCAGCUGCUUUCCAAUAAACACAGCCAUUAGGUGUGGCUGUGUGGACUGCCAGCCAGCCAGGCACCCAGCGACAGUACCAGUGUUACAACCCUGGCUAGGGAUCAAUACCACCUGUGCGUAUGGGUAUCGGUUAACAGAGACAUUUGGGGGCAUUAGUACUUGGCCGCGAGAGGUGAAAUUCACAGACCGGCCAAAGACUAACGAUUGCGAAAGCAUCUGUCCAAGAUGUCUUCAUUGGCCAAGGACGAAAGUUAGGGGAUCGAAGAUGAUCAGAUACCGUCGUAGUCCUAACUGUAAACGAUGCCAACCAGGGCUCAGGCCGGGUCGGAUAUGCUGUGUGACGUGUGUCCGUUGGUGCGCCGGGCGCGCCUGUGCUCAAUGUAGCACAUGGCUGCCACCCUGGCCCCAAGUGCGUGACAAUCACGCUCACACAUGCAUAUAACAGAUCCAGGUUGGGCCCCCCGGGAAACCUAAAGUGUGUGGGUUCCGGGGGGAGUAUGGUUGCAAAGCUGAAACUUAAAGGAAUUGACGGAAGGGCACCACCAGGAGUGGAGCCUGCGGCCUAAUUUGACUCAACACGGGGAAUCUCACCAGGUCCGGACAUCGGAAGGAUUGACAGACUGAUAGAUCUUUCAUGAUUCGGUGAAUGGUGGUGCAUGGCCGUUCUUGGUUGGUGGAGUGAUUUGUCUGGUUUAUUCCGUGAACGAGCGCAACCACAGCCUCCAUUUUGGCCGUACGAAGUGCUCUAGGGCGCACGGCAGCCUGCACAUGUAACAGUGUGCAAGCUGCUGCUGCGUCAUUGAGUGUAAAAUUGCCAUUGAUCGCGCUGGUGCGCUAAGUCCGCACACUGUCCGCCUGUGUGCUGGUGUCGAGUGUCUUGACGAUUCCAGGUGUUGCCACCGAUGGAUUCACUCUGUGCUGGGUCCUCGCAUCGACCCAAUUGGUGUAGUGCGCAUUGGCGACAUGCUGGCAGCCAACUGGAUGGGGAUCGUGAGGAAUCCUCAGACCGCGGUUGUACUGUUGCCGGUGGAUUCAACCACUACACCAAUCGGUGUGUUGUGCCUGGCACAGAGCUGUCGGGUUGGUGGCAUGUGUGCCUCUUGAUACUUAGCAUCAUCACUGGGAUGGGUCCAGUGUGUGGAUGUACCAGAAUUAUGUCGAUCAGUGGGUGUUCGUGCGCCUUCAUAGAGGGACUACCGGUGGCAAACCGGGGGAAGUGUGACAAUAGCAGGUCAGUGAUGCCCUUCGAUGUUCUGGGCUGCACGCGUGCUACAAUGGUUACGACAAUGAGUGUUCAAUGUCUGCAUCGAAAGGUGUGGGUAAUCUUCUCAAUCGUAGCCGUGCUGGGGAUUGAGCCUUGAAAUUAUUGCUCAUGAACCUGGAAUUCCUCGUAAGUACGAGUCACCAGCUCGUGCUGAAUACGUCUCUGCCCUUUGUACACACCGCCCGUCGCUACUACCGAUUGAAUGAUUCGGUGAGGUCAUGGGAUCGAUCGGUUUCUCUCUUGUAAACUGGUUGAGAGCCUGCCCAAGCUGCAUCAGUCAGAGGAAGUAAAAGUCGUAACAAGGUUUCCGUAGGUGAACCUGCGGAAGGAUCAU